AAGGKGAAAUCCCSGGGGUCYACCCCGGGACUGCCCCCAAAAYUGCCMGGCYUKRGGGUAUGGAGARGGAAAKUGGAAUUCCAAGUGUAGCGGKGAAAUGYGUAGAUWUCGGAGGAACACCCCGUGMGRAAGGCGGCUUCCKRGUCAUAUCCYKWCGUUGAYGUGSRAAAGCUAGGGGAGCGAACGGGAUUAGAUACCCCGGUAGUCCUAGCCGUAAAACGAUGGAUAMUWAGGUGUUAGAGGUAUCGACCCCUCUAGUGCCGCAGCUAACGCAUUAAGUAUCCCGCCUGGGGAGUAYGACCGCAAGGUUGAAACUCAAARGGAAUUGACGGGGGCCCGCACAAGCGGUGGAGCAUGUGGUUUAAUACGUCAUUAACCGUAGAACCUUACCCAGGCUUGACAUCUGGGGAAUGCCGGUGAAAGCUGGUAGUGCUUCGUAAGAAGAACCCCAAGACAGGUGUUGCAUGGCUGUCGUCAGCUCKUGUCGUGAGAUGUUGGGUUAAGUCCCGCAACGAGCGCAACCCUCAUCCGAUKUUGCCAGCGUAAAGUCGGGAACUCUUCGGAAACUGCCCGUGUAAGCGGGAGGAAGGUGGGGAUGACGUCAAGUCAGCAUGGCCCUUACGCCUGGGGCUACACACAUGCUACAAUGGAYGUCAACAAAGGGCAGCGAAACCGSGAGGUGGAGCUAAUCUCAAAAAUACGUCYUCAGUUCGGAUUGCAGUCUGCAACUCGACUGCAYGAAGUCGGAAUSGCUAGUAMCCGCAGGUCAGYUAAASUSCGGUGAAUACGUUCCCGGGCCUUGUACACACCGCCCGUCACGCCACCUGAAUUGUCUGCACCCGAAGUCGAUGGCCUAACCCGCAAGGGAAGGAGUCGCAGAAGSWGKGGGGAGUAAGGGGGACGAAGUCGUAACAAGGUAACCGU
Molecule: ribosomal RNA, 924 nt
Filed under: uncultured bacterium
Lineage: Bacteria
Description: partial 16S ribosomal RNA
Rfam family: Bacterial small subunit ribosomal RNA
Source: RNAcentral